CAAAAAUAACAAGUGGUAGAUAAGUGAGUGAGUAAAUCCACAGAAGAAGGUGAAUGGUACUCUACAAUACUUAUGAAAGUAGGUUUGGAGAUAUCUAUUCCUGCAUGACUGGAAGAUCACUGACUGCAUUAAUCAAAAAAGAAGAUGAAUUCUGCUCUUGCAAUUCUCACAAUAAUCAGCAGCGUGACUUUGUACCAAUAACCAAGAUAUUCUUCUAUCUUUUAGUGCAGUAUGCAUGGUGAAUUCUAGAUGUUCAAAAAAAGGAAUGGUUGAUAUGUGACCAAGAAAACCAACUGGAGAAUUUUUUUUGUAUUUUACAAUACUCAUGAAAGAUCAGUGAUCACAAGGAAGAGGCAUGGUGAAUUCUACAAUUGCAAAAACCAUGAAUGGUGGAUAAGUGUCUGAAUAAAUCAGCAGGGGAAGGUGAGGAGUACUCUUCAAUAUGCAUGAAAGAUCAAAGUUUGCACCAUUGUUUGUUGAGUGACUUUGGGCCAAGAACCAAAAGAUUGUUACUUCUAUUGCUGCAAUAGGUAUGGUGAUUUCUAUUCCUGCAUAGCUGGUAGAUCAGUUAUUGUAAUAAUCAACAAAAGAAAGUGUGUCCUCCUCUUGCAAUAAAUACGAUAAUCAGCAGAGUUACUUUGGACCAAUAAUGAGAAAAGAGUGACUUCUGUACCUGCAAAAAUCAUUACUGGUGGAUAAGUGACUUAGUAAAGUAACAGGAGAAAGUGAGUAGCAAUC
Molecule: long non-coding RNA, 738 nt
Organism: Crotalus tigris (Tiger rattlesnake)
Lineage: Eukaryota; Metazoa; Chordata; Lepidosauria; Squamata; Viperidae
Exons: 3
Source: RefSeq, a predicted model, not a curated record